Molecule: RNase P RNA, 400 nt
Filed under: Dehalococcoidia bacterium
Lineage: Bacteria; Bacillati; Chloroflexota; Dehalococcoidia
Description: RNase P RNA component class A
Rfam family: Bacterial RNase P class A
About the family: Ribonuclease P (RNase P) is a ubiquitous endoribonuclease, found in archaea, bacteria and eukarya as well as chloroplasts and mitochondria. Its best characterised activity is the generation of mature 5'-ends of tRNAs by cleaving the 5'-leader elements of precursor-tRNAs.
Source: RNAcentral
CCAGGAGGACGGGCGACCGCCUCGGUCUUUGGACCGGGGAGGAAAGUCCGAGCUCCACCGGGCAGGGUGCUGGGUAACUCCCAGGCGCGGUGACGCGACGGAAAGUGCCACAGAGACAGACCGCCUAUCUGGAAACGGAUGGGUAAGGGUGAAACGGUGCGGUAAGAGCGCACCAGCGGCCGGGUGACCGGUCGGGGCCAAGGAUGGCCUCCCAUCGCUUUCGGGCGGUGGGACUGGGCAAACCCCACUCGGAGCAAGACCGAAUAGGAGGGCUUAAGGGACGCCCGGCCUGCCCUCGGGUUGGUCGCACGAGGCUUCGAGCAAUCGGAGUCCCAGAUGGAUGGUCGCCGUCCCUCUUUCGAGGGGGACACAGAACUCGGCUUAUAGUCUUGCUGGCCAG